UACGUAGGCAGCAAGCGUUGUUCGGAAUUACUGGGCGUAAAGAGUGUGUAGGCGGUGUUCUAAGUUUGUCGUGAAAUCUCCCGGCUUAACUGGGAGGGUGCGGCGAAAACUGGAAUGCUAGAGGAUGGGAGAGGUAGGCGGAAUUCCUGGUGUAGCGGUGAAAUGCGUAGAUAUCAGGAGGAACACCUGUGGUGUAGACAGCUUACCGGACCAUUUCUGACGCUGAGACACGAAAGCGUGGGUAGCAAACAGG
This 253-nucleotide ribosomal RNA is filed under the name uncultured bacterium. RNAcentral's name for it is "partial 16S ribosomal RNA". It matches the Rfam family "Bacterial small subunit ribosomal RNA", at positions 524 to 776 of the family's 1533-position model. The record is from RNAcentral.